GGAGAGAUGUCCGAGAGGCUGAAGGAGCACGACUGGAAAUCGUGUGUGGGGUCUUAAAAACCUCACCGAGGGUUCAAAUCCCUCUCUCUCCG
Molecule: transfer RNA, 92 nt
Filed under: Thermodesulfovibrionales bacterium
Lineage: Bacteria; Pseudomonadati; Nitrospirota; Thermodesulfovibrionia; Thermodesulfovibrionales
Also listed under: 1 other name
Description: tRNA-Ser
Rfam family: tRNA
About the family: Transfer RNA (tRNA) molecules are approximately 80 nucleotides in length.
Source: RNAcentral